AUCCAGCUGACGAGUCUCAAAUAGGACGAAACGUGCGUCUUGGAU
This 45-nucleotide non-coding RNA is filed under the name Schistosoma margrebowiei. Lineage: Eukaryota; Metazoa; Platyhelminthes; Trematoda; Strigeidida; Schistosomatidae. The record is from RNAcentral.